CUGCCCCGGGCACCGGCGUCGGAGGAGGAGGAGGAGGCCGGGGAGGAGCCCGCGGCGCCGGAGUCCGGCGCAAAGUGAAACUCCGGGAAGCCGCGCGCCCUCGGGCGGGGCCGCGUCCCGGCUCCCCUCGGCCAGCAGCGGCUAUGGCUCUGAGCAAAGGGCUGCGGCUGCUGGCGCGGCUGGACCCCACGGGCCCGAGCAGCGUGCUGCUGGAGGCGCGGGGCCGUGAUGACUGCCUGCUCUUCGAGGCCGGUGCGGUGGCCACGCUGGCUCCGGAAGAGAAGGAAGUCAUUAAAGGACAGUAUGGCAAGCUGACGGAUGCCUAUGGCUGCCUCGGGGAGCUGAGGUUAGGAUCCGGUGGCAUCCCCUUGAGUUUUCUGGCGUUGGUGACAGGCUGCACAUCAGUGGGCAGAAUUCCAGACGCGGAAAUCUACAAAAUUACUGCCACUGAGUUUUACCCCCUUCAGGAAGAGGCCAAGGAAGAGGAUCGCCUGCUCGCCUUGAAGAAAAUCCUGAGCUCAGGGGUAUUUUAUUUCGCAUGGCCCAACGAUGGCUCCUGUUUUGAUCUGACCAUCAGGGCACAGAAACAGGGUGAUGACUGCUCUGAAUGGGGAACCUCCUUCUUCUGGAACCAGCUAUUGCAUGUGCCCCUGAGGCAGCACCAGGUGAGCUGCUGUGACUGGUUGCUGAAAAUCAUCUGUGGGGUGGUGACCAUCCGCACGGUGUAUGCCUCCCACAAGCAGGCCAAGGCCUGUCUCAUCUCUCGCAUCAGCUGUGAACGUGCAGGUGCUCGCUUCCUCACCCGUGGCGUAAAUGACGAUGGCCACGUGUCCAACUUCGUGGAGACAGAGCAGACGAUUUACAUGGAUGAUGGGGUAUCGUCCUUUGUCCAGAUCCGAGGCUCCGUCCCGCUGUUCUGGGAGCAGCCAGGGCUUCAGGUUGGCUCCCAUCAUCUGAGGCUACACAGAGGCCUAGAGGCCAAUGCCCCUGCUUUUGAAAGGCACAUGGUGCUUCUGAAGGAGCAGUACGGGAAGCAGGUGGUUGUGAACCUGCUGGGAAGCAGAGGUGGUGAAGAGGUGCUCAACAGGGCUUUCAAGAAGCUGCUCUGGGCUUCUUGCCACGCAGCCGACACGCCUAUGAUAAAUUUUGACUUCCAUCAGUUUGCCAAAGGUGGGAAGCUAGAGAAAUUGGAGAACCUGUUGAGGCCUCAGUUAAAGCUACACUGGGAUGACUUUGGUGUGUUUGCAAAGGGCGAGAAUGUAAGUCCACGUUUUCAGAAAGGCACUCUGCGGAUGAACUGUCUCGACUGCCUGGACAGAACCAACACUGUGCAGUGCUUCAUUGCUCUUGAGGUCCUUCACCUGCAGCUUGAGAGCCUGGGGCUGAAUUCAAAGCCCAUCACUGACCGCUUUGUGGAGUCCUUCAAAGCCAUGUGGUCUCUGAAUGGGCAUGGCCUGAGCAAGGUGUUCACAGGGAGCAGGGCCCUGGAAGGAAAGGCCAAGGUGGGGAAGCUGAAGGAUGGGGCCCGAUCCAUGUCUCGUACCAUCCAGUCCAACUUCUUCGAUGGGGUGAAACAGGAGGCCAUCAAGCUACUGCUAGUUGGAGAUGUCUACAAUGAAGAGUCCACCGACAAAGGAAGGAUGCUGCUGGGCAACACGGCGCUUCUGGUGACCCCCAGGAUCCUGAAGGCCAUGACAGAACGACAGUCAGAAUUCACGAAUUUCAAGCGGGUCCAGAUUGCUGUGGGAACCUGGAAUGUGAACGGAGGAAAGCAAUUCCGUAGCAAUCUCCUGGGAACCGCCGAGCUCACGGACUGGCUCCUGGAUGGCCCCCAGCUCUCAGGAGCAGUGGACUCCCAGGAUGAUGGCAGUCCCGCUGACGUAUUUGCCGUGGGGUUUGAAGAGAUGGUGGAGCUGAGUGCGGGAAAUAUUGUCAAUGCCAGCACCACCAACAGGAAGAUGUGGGGUGAGCAGCUUCAGAAAGCCAUCUCCCGCUCCCAUCGGUACAUCCUCUUGACCUCCGCACAGCUGGUGGGCGUGUGUCUUUAUAUCUUUGUCCGUCCGUACCAUGUCCCGUUCAUCAGGGACGUGGCCAUCGACACGGUGAAGACUGGCAUGGGGGGAAAGGCGGGGAAUAAGGGCGCCGUGGGCAUCCGCUUCCAGUUCCACAGCACCAGCUUCUGCUUCAUCUGCAGCCACCUGACGGCUGGGCAGUCUCAGGUGAAGGAGAGGAACGAAGACUACCGGGAGAUUACGCACAAGCUCUCCUUCCCGGCGGGGAGAAACAUAUUUUCACACGAUUAUGUGUUUUGGUGUGGUGAUUUCAACUACCGCAUCGACCUUACCUAUGAAGAAGUCUUCUAUUUUGUUAAACGACAAGACUGGAAGAAGCUUAUGGAAUUUGACCAGUUACAGCUACAGAAGUCAAGUGGGAAAAUUUUUAAAGACUUUCAUGAGGGAACCAUUAACUUUGGACCCACCUAUAAGUAUGAUGUUGGAUCAGCUGCCUAUGACACAAGUGAUAAGUGCCGUACCCCAGCCUGGACAGACAGGGUGCUGUGGUGGAGGAAGAAGCAUCCUCACGAUAAGACGGCUGAAGAACUCAACCUUCUAGACAGUGAUCUAGAUGGUGAUGCCAAGAUCAGACAUACCUGGUCUCCAGGAACUCUCAAAUACUACGGCCGUGCGGAGCUGCAAGCAUCUGAUCACAGACCUGUGCUGGCCAUCGUGGAGGUGGAGGUGCAAGAGGUCGACGCAGGAGCCCGAGAGAGAGUUUUCCAGGAAGUGUCCUCCGUCCAGGGUCCUCUGGAUGCCACCGUUGUUAUAAACCUUCAGUCUCCAACUCUAGAAGAGAAAAAUGAAUUUCCAGAGGACCUGCGCACAGAACUUAUGCAGACUUUGGGGAAUUAUGGGACCAUUGUUCUGGUCAGGAUCAACCAAGGGCAGAUGCUGGUGACAUUUGCAGAUAGCCACUCGGCUCUCAGCGUGCUAGGUGUGGAUGGUAUGAAGGUGAAAGGCAGGGCCGUGAAGAUUCGACCAAAGACCAAAGAUUGGCUGGAAGGCUUGAGAGAGGAGCUUGUUCGGAAGCGGGACAGCAUGGCCCCUGUGUCUCCCACCGCCAACUCCUGCUUGCUGGAGGAGAACUUUGACUUCACGAGUCUGGAUUAUGAGUCAGAAGGGGAUGUUAUUGAAGAUGAAGAAGACUAUUCGGUGGAUGAGUUUGGCCAGCCUGUGGUCUCAGACAGCGAUCUUGGCGGAGACGACUCUUGUGAUACCACGCGCUCCUCGGCACCUGCCAGCAAAUCUCCCGCACUGGCUAAAAAGAAGCAACACCCGACCUACAAAGACGAUGCUGACCUCGUGAAGUUAAAGCAGGAGCUGGAAGCUGCUGGGGAUUUUCGCCACCGUUCUCCGAGCAGGUCCCUGUCCGUCCCCAAUAGGCCUCGGCCACCUCACCCACCACAGAGACCCCCCCCUCCAACCGGUUUAAUGGUGAAGAAGUCGGCCUCAGAUGUGUCCAUCUCCUCUGGCACUCAUGGGCAGUAUUCAAUCUUGCAGACUGCGAAGCUUCUUCCAGGGGCCCCUCAGCAGCCGCCCAAGGCAAGAACUGGAAUAAGUAAACCUUACAACGUCAAACAGAUCAAAACCACCAAUGCUCAGGAGGCGGAAGCAGCCAUCCGGUGUCUCCUGGAAGCUGGCGGGGGUAUUCCAGAAGUAGCCCCAGGUCACAUGACCCUGAGAGACCAAGGGUCUUCCAGGCCAGAGCCUAUGUCCGUAGGAGGCAAGCCAGAGGCCUCCCUGGGGCCGCAAGCCCUCCCCCGCCGGCCUGCUCCUAGGGUCCCUGCCAUGAAGAAGCCAACUUUGAGGAGAACAGGAAAGACCAUGUUACCAGAAGAACAGUCUGAGCAGCAGCCUGUCCAGUUUACACUCGCUUCCCAGGAAAUGAGCCUUGAGACCCCUCCUGCAGCGACAGCCCCUCAAGUUCCGCCUGUUCCCAAACCAAGAACAUUUCCGCUUGGGAAAGGCGUUGAGAGGAGGCUGAGCAGUGGCAAGCCAGCACUGGAUGAAGCUCCUCCCAUGACAGGCUCUGUGGAGUUGGCGCCCCCAGAGGCCGCGUCCCUGGCUCCCAAGGUGCCCCCACGGAGAAAGAAGUCCGCACCAGCGACCUUCCACCUGCAGGUCUUGCAGAGCAACAGCCAACUUCUCCAGGACCUCACAUAUUCCAGCAGCUCUCCCUCCCCACUGCAGCCCGACACCCACCCGCUCUGUCCACAAGCUGGCCUUCUUGGCACUUCAUCUGCCAUAAGCCCUGAAACUGAUGGCCCCAGAGUGACGGAUCCCACGGCAGCCUCUUCUCAUGGAGAUUAUCCAGAUCCCUUCUGGAGCCUUCUCCACCACCCUAAGCUGUUGAAUAAUAACUGGCUGUCCAAGAGCUCUGAGCCUUUAGACUUGGGGUCCAGGAACCCCGAGAGGACACACAGAGACCCAGCACAGGUCGGCACAUCUGUGGCUGAGAGGGGCCUCCCACCAGACCAUGGGGGAAAAGACUUCAGCCACUGGGCGAGAGCCAGUAACAAAGACAAGAGAACAACGUUGGGCGUUUGACCCACUGGCAAGAAGAUGACUAGACUCUGAAGAUGCUUUCAUCCCAAAUGUGGGCAUUGCUUGACCUGGUCAAGUGGGAUGUCAAUUUAAAGCUUCACUGAAGCCCUUUGCUUACCUGUCAGUCCUGUGUAGUUUACAAACAGCCUCCCAUUCAGUACGGUUAUUAUCCGUCCAGUCUCCAAAAUGUUUCACUCAAGACCUGUGUAUUUUAAGCUUGUUCUCAGGAGAAUGGGAAAUGUAUGGUUGGAUUCAGCAUACAGUUUUUAAAGAAAAGAAAUAUGGAUGCCGGAGAUGCUCUCACCUACUGGAUUUUAAACAGUUGUUCAGUUUAUGUGUGUAUGCCAUUUGCUUGUUGUUUUUGUUUGUGAUUUACAGGUUUGAGAUAAGUGGUCGGCUCAUAAGAGAUGACAUUAAAAACAGUUGGGACCAUUAAGAGCUGUUCUGGCCCACUUUAAACCAGGUUAAGAAAAAAAUAAAUGAACAGAAUUGAAAACAGCAAAUAGGUCAGUGGCAUGGCUGGGCCAUCCAUUCCUGUGAGCUCAUUUUGUGGAGUGCCCUUCCCAGCUACAGUUCUGCUUCUCCAGGCUCUGCAGAAAGACCUUGUCUGCAUCGAGCACGUGUCUUCUGUCGUAACAGGGGUAAACUACCUGCAGCCAGCUGAACAUGCACAGGAGGGUAGGUAGGGACUACACAACUACUGUGCCAUUGGGGACCUGAGUCUAAGGAUUCAGGUACCUCGGGGAUCCCGGCCAUGAUCUCCCACAGAUACUCAGGUGACUACCCUGUGUAUUAGCUUUACGUAUCAUUCCUGUGAGAGCUGUUGACAACACAAUCUGGGUUGUGACAUGUGCAGCAUGAGCUUACGCCCCACUCAGAUUUGGAGCCGCUGACUUCCGCAUGCCCUGUACACCGCCAUGGCCUGGAGCUAUGGUGUGCUGCUUAACCCCAUUAGGAAGCUGAUCCAAGACAGCAAGUCUGGGUUUGUCCGUAUGUCUGUCAGGUCUGGUGCCUCUCCAUUUUCAUGCACUUCCAGUACUUCUCGUCUCUUCAAGAACUGACAGACUCCGUGAUGCUGCUUUAUAUCUUUAAAACGCUGUGAGGUCUAGAACCUACUUGAAGCAGACACCACAUUUUUGUGUAUGAAAAGCUCACUAGCUGAAGAAGGCCGAGUUGGGUGGGUCGCAAGGUCACGACCAGCCUGGGACAGAGCAAGAUCCCUUUUUUCAGAAAGAAAUUCAUUAGCAAAUCUUAUUAUGCCAAGGCCACAUUUAGGAUUCUGUUACACCACAGGCCCAUCCAGCAAUAUCCAGUGUUGCCCUUACAAGCAAGCCUGCAGUGACUCCUGAUGCCUGGGAUCGUCACAGCCAUUCAUUCCUCAUUGCCCACCAGUCUGCUGGGGUUUCAUAAAUUAUCUUCACUGUCACGUUCAAGAUAUCUUGCAAAUUAUUUAAAUCUGGCAUUCAAGAACAAGACUCCAUGUAUCUACUUUCAUCUGAAAUCUGAUCAGAGAAAAAGGAGCAGCUGACCCCAGAGAUAAGCAGAUAAUACAUAUAUUUGGCCGCUAUAAAAUAUGGCGUGGGGGCCUGGAGAUAGGGCUCAGCAGUUAAGAGCACAGGCUGCUCUUCUAGAGGACCCAGGUUUGAAUCCCAGCACCUACACAGUGGCUCACAACCAGGUGUAACUCCAAUCCCACAGGACCCAAUGUGCACACAAGGUGCACAGACAUAUGUGCGGGCAAGUAAAGAAAAUAAAACCCCAAUAAAAUAAUGGAAAAAAAUUAAAGAUGACAUGUAGAUGAUCAGGGUGCUUUCUGUGGCCCUUAAGAUAGUGUAGUUCACCUCGUGUGUUCGUUCUACAAAUAAAACCUUAUAGAAAGUGUCAGAGAAGAAAGUGAAGUGGGCUGCUGGGAGAUGGUAAGGGUUGGCCACAACGUUUCUUCCCGAAAGUGCAGUCAGGAAUGGGGGGGGCUUACUUUUAAAAACUCAGAUGCCCUCUUCUUAUCUAUACCUUCUUUUCCCACCACAGAAGAGGUAGAUCUGCCAGCAGACAAAUGUAGCCCUCCAGUCAGAAAGGCAGCAGGGAGCUCAGCUCCCAAGAUGACCUGGUGUGAGAAGAACUCCAGCGUGUAGUUUUCUUUGCUCUACAUAGCAAUCGACUGGCACAGAAGCCAGGAGCCCCCCCUAAGGCGCGCUCAUCAGAGCAGCAGCUGCUCCCAGAGUCUAAAAGUGAAGAACCAACACGCAGGACGUGACCCCCACUCGGAACACAAGAUGAACUAAAAAAGAAUGACCCCAGCACUGCCUAGACUCCCUGGAUAAAAGCUGUAUUAAAGACUGUGACAUGAGGUUUCAGGACCCCGAGUUUUCACCAUUACUGAUCCCUCCACGGACCUACACGGUGUUCUGACUUGACAUCUUCAUGAGCAAGGAGUCCCCUCCACCCUUACAGUGGACAGAGAUGUUAGCCCAGGCCCGGGUAUGAAGUCACCUGGUGGCCACUGUCUUUCUCCAGGCUCCUCUUACAUCUCAAAGACACAGAGAUGACAUUUCUCAUUUCUACCUUGUUUUCACUGGGUGUAGUCUGGUUUACUGUAAUUGUGUUAUAACUGUUUUGUCUGUUUUGUUUUGUUUUCCAGACAGGGUUUCUCUGUGUAGCCAUGGCUGUCCUGGAACUCACUCUGUAGGUCAGGCUGUGCUCGAACUCAGAGAUCCAUCUGCCUCUGCCUCCCAGGUGCUGGUAUUAAAGGCGUUCACGAACACCAUUAUCCAGCUAAGAAAAUGUUUUCUAAACCCAAAACUUUUGUAAAGAAAAAUAAGGCAGAAAGGAACCAUCAAGUAUGAGGAAAAAAGCAUAAAAUGUUAAAAUAAUUUUUGGUUAAUAUAAGGCUGACAUCAAGGGAAAUGCUUUGUAAGAUUCUGUCCUCAAGGGAUUCUGUCCAAAAGAGAAAGGAAAAAGGACAGACCUGGCAAGUGACAGUGUGUCCUAAGGUGUGCAGCAGGUAAUGGCUAAGGAGCGCCUGUGCAUGGCCACACUUCCUAUAGUUAAAGGCUAGCACCAUCCCGUGGGCACAGAACCAAAACUCAGGUUUCUAUGUACAGGAAUAAAACUCCACAUUUACAAAAAGACAAAGUUGGCUGAGGGAACACAGCUUUUGUUUCAUUCCUCAGUCAAUGUACCUGUUAAAACCUGAUGGUUUAACUGUUUUCUUUGUUGUGCUUUUUCCUCUUUCACUUAUAAAAACACCAAACAGGAACCAAAACUCCCACCAUACACCACUAGCGUGUUUGUCUUUGCUCAGCAUCUUUCCUCUUUUUCUUGUUCUUCUGAAGGCUUUAAAGAACAAAUGAGGGUUUUGUUUUUGAUUUUUAUAGAAUUGUUUUUAAAAGAGUGAAGAAAAAAAAUGAUGAUUUGAUUUGAUUCAAAUGCCUCCAAAUGAGCCCUUAAUGUUUCCACCAACCAAAAGCUAGCAUGUUACCAGGUAACACUGAAACCUAUUCCCAUUUUUCCCUGGUUUGCUAUCUCCCUAUCUGAUGCUCCUACCACAGUAUUUGGUAAAUAUAUUUACUCAUGAUUUUCUUCAUGUUCUAUGACUACAGAAUUAGACUGUGGAACAAGCCUGCCCAGGUAACCUGAAGCCUGAACCAUGAUCACUCAGCUCAGAAUAAACUCUUACUCCUUUUGGAGUGACAGCUGGGAUUGCACUGGUCAUUGUAACUUUGUUGUUGUUUUUCGAGACAGGGUUUCACUGUGUAAUAGCCCCGGACUCCUUUUGUAGACCAGGCUGACCUCGAGAAAUCCGAGAUCUACCUGCCUCCACCUCAUAACAUUUUAUGUGCUAGUUAGACUGAACCAAUAAAUUCAUAUUUUGCAGA
This is an RNA transcript of Meriones unguiculatus (Mongolian gerbil), 8476 nucleotides long. It is a transcript of the gene named synaptojanin 2, with no coding region annotated. Lineage: Eukaryota; Metazoa; Chordata; Mammalia; Rodentia; Muridae. The transcript is spliced from 28 exons. The record is from RefSeq and is a predicted model, not a curated record.